This 301-nucleotide ribosomal RNA is filed under the name uncultured bacterium. Its description in RNAcentral is "partial 16S ribosomal RNA". It matches the Rfam family "Bacterial small subunit ribosomal RNA", at positions 509 to 807 of the family's 1533-position model. The record is from RNAcentral.
CAGCAGCCACGGGAAUACGUAGGGCGCAAGCGUUAUCCGGAAUUAUUGGGCGUAAAGAGCUCGUAGGCGGUUUGUCGCGUCUGCCGUGAAAGUCCGGGGCUCAACCCCGGAUCUGCGGUGGGUACGGGCAGACUAGAGUGAUGUAGGGGAGACUGGAAUUCCUGGUGUAGCGGUGAAAUGCGCAGAUAUCAGGAGGAACACCGAUGGCGAAGGCAGGUCUCUGGGCACUAACUGACGCUGAGGAGCGAAAGCAUGGGGAGCGAACAGGAUUAGAUACCCCCGUAGUCCCUGUCUCUUAUAC